AUGGGGAUAGCGCCCGUCACCUGUUCGGCGGAAUGCUUGACGCAGGUCGUCACCAUCGUCAGUGUCAACGAGGUCCACGACGCCGCCACAACCGUCUGCUUCGAGCCCGCAGUCAAUCUCUUCCACCAGGAGGUCGAGCAGCUCACGCAUGUGCCUUCCAUCGUCACCAACACCACCCCUUCUGCCAAGGUCGUCGCCACAGUGGCAACCAUCACCGACGUCGACCCCAAGGCCGUCGUACAGGAGUUGGAUACCUCACCCCUACCCUUCAUCAACACCUCCACCUGGGUCGUGAGUGAUGGGGAGCACGGAGUCCUUCUCGUCGUCUCCAGUAACCUCGCUGCAUCAGCGCCGACCAUGCGCUGGGUAGACUGCCCUAUCCCUGCAGGCGACUGGGUGAAGCCUGUGACUGUCGCCAUCGACGGUGCCGACGAGACACAUGACACUGCCAUCGUUGAGCGUUUGCACCCGCCUUCCUUCGAACAUCAACCACGGCCACCACCUGUACAAGUUCUGUUCAAUCACAUGGGAUCCCUAUUCAGGCCUAGCCCGUGGCCGUCGUUCCGACCUCUGUCCUUCUCAAGCUACCCGGACAUUUCAAGUAUCCAUAGUCAAUCACAUGGAGUUCUCUGCUUCAGUCCUUGGUUAAUUCGGACAGCUCAAGACCCUCCCAUGAGCUCAAUCAUCAACUCAUUGCAGUUGUCCAUGAAUCAUGAUCCGGACAACCCGAUGCCCAAAGAGUGCUCGCUCUUCUGCCUCCUUGACACACCUAUACCCUCACUGAUGUCAAAGGUGUUUCCCCAUGUCAGGCACAAGAGGCUGAUGCUACGACCGACACCGUGGCCAUCAUUUUGGAUGAAUCUUGCAGAGGGAAACGAGGACAAUAAAGGGCUUGCGGAACUCCAUGCAUGUUCCAGUACUAUUGCUCACGAGCUGCAUUGUUCAUGUAUCGCUACAGUGGUUGUGCAUAUGUUUCGGAGUGUGUAUAAACUGGGACCUCUGAGCGCCAAACUGCCAAGCAGUAUUUGUCUUCAGUUAAUGCAAAUUGAGUCGUUCAUGUCUUCUGCUCCAGCUACCCUCACAGUUCGAUGGAAACCUACCUGUAACAAGCAUCCAUUGCAUUCUACCCAGUUUCCAAAAAAGCUGCAGCUAUAUGAACUAGUCAGCCACAUGGAUAUCAGUUCUCGAUUAGUUGAUAGUGAGAGGAGUAGCAUUCCUGUAUCAACCAAGGCAUGUAACCUAUUAUUGGGCAACAUAGACUUCAAGUGUCACAUAACUCAUGGCGAAAUGGAUUCCAAAAUAUUACAACAAGCAGGAACUUCUCUGGACGGGACGUUGAUACUUUGUUUCAAUGAGCGACCACUUCUUAUUUGUACAACUCGGGUGCAUUGGAAGCUUUCUGAGACGGGUGCUUGCUGGAUCCCAAUGGUGCCAAGCUAUAUUCCUGUCCUGAGUCAUCCAAUAAAACAAUUUAUGGAUGAUCUGACCAUGAGUACUACAGAGCAACGGUUAAUUAUCUGUUGGGUGCAGUUCUCUUAUGAAUUUCGUGCUCAAGACGCCCAACCGAUGUUUUGGUUCAGUAAAAGAAGUGCUCAGCUGAAGCUACCUGGAUCGUAUUUUUUAUGCACUUGUCAGGCAGUACAGUUGCUGUACCAUUGGGUUCAUGAGCACGUCACUGAAUUGGCUGGUAGUUGUUACCUUGCGAAAUUGUGGCACACUAGCGAUUCCCAUGAUUCGGUACAUCAAUGGGUAGUUCCUAUAUGUGCCAAUAUACAAGCCGGUGGCGACCUGUUCAAGUAUAAGUGGAGCGGACAAUAUGAAGGGAGACGGUUGAAGCCUAAUUUCCUACAAGCUAGUUCUAGCCCCUGUUCUGAUGCAUAUUUCUAUGGGAACCAAUACACAGUGGUCGUUGAACUGUUGGUGUAUCUUGUUGGGCAGCUAAGUGACAUGUUUCAGAAGUGGAGAAGCCAAUAUCAUAUAGGGGAGAGCAACGAAAACGCUUAUAACUAUGGUAUAUGCCUUGGCAUCUCAGUGGUAGGGAGUGGGCUCCUUCUGAUUGAGUUGGAACUACUUAUUCCAAAACCAGGAGAGCAUUUGGUCUUGUUGCAACCCAAGCCUCCAUAG
This 2124-nucleotide ribosomal RNA is filed under the name Triticum aestivum (bread wheat). RNAcentral describes it as "partial small subunit ribosomal RNA". The record is from RNAcentral. Lineage: Eukaryota; Viridiplantae; Streptophyta; Magnoliopsida; Poales; Poaceae.